UACGUCGGGUGCAAGCGUGAAUCGGCCUUACUGGGCGUAAAGCGCACGCAGGCGGUCUGUCAAGUCGGAUGUGAAAUCCCCGGGCUCAACCUGGGAACUGCAUUCGAAACUGGCAGGCUUGAGUCUCGUAGAGGGGGGUAGAAUUCCAGGUGUAGCGGUGAAAUGCGUAGAGAUCUGGAGGAAUACCGGUGGCGAAGGCGGCCCCCUGGACGAAGACUGACGCGCAGGUGCGAAAGCGUGGGGAGAACACAGGAUGAGAUACCCGCGUAGUCC
RNAcentral lists this ribosomal RNA (273 nucleotides) under uncultured bacterium. RNAcentral describes it as "partial 16S ribosomal RNA". It matches the Rfam family "Bacterial small subunit ribosomal RNA", at positions 524 to 796 of the family's 1533-position model. The record is from RNAcentral.